AGGGAGCGAGCCCGCCUGGCCGUUGGAAGCGUGGAUCCUUUGCUAUCCCCUGAAUGAUGAUGAUCACGCUUUCGCAGGACAAUAUGAUAUGUGUGAUCGGAUCUGAUCAGCCGUUCGAUCAACGGUCUUUAAGCUGCGCAGAAAGUAGCGCAGGCACCGAAAGGCUGUUAGGGCGCCACCAGCACCAGCAGCAGAGUCGGCGCUGAGACGAGACGACUCAGCUGGUCUGUGCGGAGCUGAGCCGGAAAGAGCUUGUCCCUCACCACCUUCUCUGAUCGUCGUCGUCGUCAUCAUCUAUCUUUCCCAUUUCAUCCUUCCUCCCUUCCGUUGACGGAUUAAUUUCUCGCUCUCUUUAUUUACAAUAAAACAAAAAAAACCCUAAAAACGCGUAGGACUUCCGCAUAAUAGCAUAAGACUGGAAGAAAAGGAGGAUUGGGUGGUUCGGGAGCGACAGGAGACGUAGGAGGAGGAUUGAUGAAUCGAAGGAAAGAACCCUGCAGAAAUUUUCAGCGCGGCAGCUGUCAAUAUGGGGAUCGUUGCAAGUUUCUGCAUGUGGCUCCACAACAAUCAAAACCCAGCACUUUUGGAUUUGGUGCUCAAAGUGCUUUGCAUUUGGCACAAAACACCCAACAACAAAAGCCCAAUCCUUUUGGAUUUGGGGUAUCGGGCAACUCACAGUUAAAAGGUGCAUCGAACUUUGGUGCCAGAAAUCAAAGCUCUUCCAGGCCAUUUGAAAAUAAGUGGACACGGUCCUCCUCGAUAGCUUCAACAACUUCAACUUCCCCUCAACAGAAUGAUUCCCUGCCUCAAGCAGCUAUUCAUAAAUGUACAGAUCCGGAGUUAUGCAAACGCCAAAUUGUUGAAGAUUUUAAGAAUGAGGCACCUCUUUGGAAGCUUACCUGUUAUGGUCACUGCAAAAAUGGUCCUUGUGAUAUUAUUGGUGAUAUUAGCUUUGAAGAACUUCGGGCAGCAGCAUAUGAGGAUGCUAGACGAGGGUUAAGUUUACAAUCAAUUGUUGAAAGAGAAAGGAACUUGCUCAAUUCCAAGUUAAUCGAGUUCGAUAAUUUGCUCCGGAAUCCCUAUGUAUUGCGAAAUCCUAAUUCAUCUGGGACAAGCCUGUUUGCAGUAACCAACAGCAAUGCAUCCUUAAUAGGUGCUCAAACUAAUGCACCACCUUCAUUUUCAAGUUUUAGUCAACUUGGGGUAGCAACUAAUGUUGGAUCGACCAUCAGGACUAGCGUACCAGGAACUCCACCUAGUGCUGUUUUUAACCAGCCAAGCUCUUUCCAGAGUAAUGGCCAAACUUCCGGUGGAUUUGCAAUGAAAUUUGGGACAUCAGGAAUUGGUAGCCAGCUACCAACACAGCCAUCUGGAAGUUCAUUAGGCCCAAACAGUUCCAACUUCAACAAUAGUGUUAGGGCUGCCGGAAGUCAACAUUUCUCAUUCCCUGCAGUCUCGCCACAGUUUAGCGGUACAAGUAAUGCAUCACCAAACAUUCUUGAUGGGCCUCAAGUUGCUCCAACUACAGCCCACCAGGCAUCUGUUAUGGAAAAGCAGAAUGUUAGUCCAGAUGACAGCAUAUGGUUAAAAGAAGAAUGGGCAAUAGGAGAGAUACCUGUAGAAGCUCCUCCAGAGAGAUUCUGUUGAAGCUCAGCAUUAAAUUUGGGAGUCUAUGGUUGGGAUAAAUGCUGUCAGGAUGCUUUAUUGUUCCCUAUGCAAGUUAAUAUUGAGGGUAGGAGGCGGGAGCUCCUGUCUCUCAAUUGAUUAGGAGUGCUUUAAGAUCUGCCUGUGGGAUGAGGCUUGAUGGUCAAGGUUGUGGUAGAAGUUUAGACCUCUGUUCCUCACUUUGGGGAAGGUGUUCUGGCAUGCUGCUGCCCUUUGAGCUUUUACCCAGGAGACCUAGUGCGUAGUGGUGGAAAAUGCCAAGCAGCCAGAUGCUGACAGCACAUUGGUGCAUAACCUACUUUUUUAUGCAUAUGAAAGAUCCACAUCAAAAACAUUCUCAUAGAAGGCAGAGUCUUGUAUACAUACGAUGAGAAUGCUGGCAUUAAUCCACCUUAGUUUUGUAUGUCACAGUGCAGGAAAAGGAUUUCUCUAUAGGAGCAGAAUCUGAUAGACUGGUUUUGGCAAAGCCAGCAGUUAUGAUGAUGCACUUUGGUGUUAGCCCUGGCUGACUGGUUCGAUUCACCUCGUGGGCACCAGCAUGCUUGGACUGUGAGUGGUUCGAUGAAUCCCCUCAUGGUACAUUGCUUCAUGACAUAGGAGGCUAGAUAAGGGUUUCCUCUUUGUACUAGUGCCGCUAGCCAUUCCAUGAUAUCCAUUCUGAUGUAGAGCCUCCCUUGGAUGAUCUCUCUGAUCUGGUGAUCUGCAUGCUACAGUUGAGUUUGAGCCUUCCCGUCAUCUAUGCCGACAUCGAAGUCCUCAUACCAGAAUGGGUCAGCAGAGAUGCCUAACUUCGCUUAAAAUACUAACCUUUUUUUUCCUGGUACAUUUGAGUUGAAACUGUAGACAGAAAAAACAAGACUGGGCAACUAACACAAACAGAGACUGUAACGGCAAAGUAAGAAGUAGAACAGCAGCGCCUGGAGCCAACCGAGUAGAGCUGAUCAGCCAUGUCUGAGGAAACCUACUCGAAGCAGGUCAUCCAUCAGAAUGCAGGCAAACUUUGGAGGGAAAGGAUCACCAGGAACAAAACCAAAACCCCCCUGAAGUGCCCGUUUUGUCAGCCGCUUUGCUGUCUGAUUAUCCUCACAAAAAAUGAGUCCCAGCAAAUGUUUGUAACCUUUGUUUCCGGGCCUCAAAAUUAGGAAGAAGGAUAAUUGAUCCAACAGAUCAUGGUAGCCAAGCCCCCCUGCAAAAUUUCCUGACCGUGGCAGUAACGUAUGGUUGCAUUUAACCCCAUCCAGGAUGCUGUUAACUCAGCACAGGGGAUAGAACGGGAAGUAAGAAGUCUACCGGCAGCAUUAUCAAAGAAGCAGAAGCACCUCUGAUCUAAAGAGCAGCUGCUGCAGAUGACCUUCGCACGGGCCCAUCCAGGAUGCUGUUAACUCAGCACAGGGGAUAAAACAGGAAGUAAGAAGCCUACCAGCAGCAUAUAUCAAAGAACCAGAAGCACCUCUGAUUAAAAUAGCGGCUGUUGCAGAUGACCUUUGCGCAGCCCCAUCAAAAUUCACCAUGAACACUCUAAAGGGAGAGGGCAGCCAAGACACCAAGGGUUGAAAGGAAGAGUGCUUGUGAAGCACUAAUGAGCUGUUCCAGUGCUUUGAAUUGGUGCAAGAAGAGCUACUAAUAUGGUUAAAGACAUCAACAUGAUAACAGCUGCCUUACCGGGUUCUGUGGAGAUGUAAAUUGAUUUUGAAAGACCCUCAGGUUUCGUGCUAACCAGAUCGGCCAAGCCAUAUAUGCCAUCAUUUCCUGCUCCCUCCUCUCCACCAUGGCAUAAGAUAAAAGAGGAACUAAAGAUAUCUGCAGCUCAGCAAUAAUUGCCAGCUGAUUCAAGCAUUGAGCAGCAGAUGGGCAUGUUACAAUCAUAUGUUGAUAAUCCUCCAUAGACCCGUCACGCUAACCUCAGCAUGGUACUUCAUUAGGCGGUAGGCUCUGAUGGUUUAGAACACUUUGGGAAUGGAAUGUCCUGUUGCAUUAGCUUCCACCAAAAAAUAUUUCACCCUUAUUGGGUCUUCCA
This is an RNA transcript of Elaeis guineensis (African oil palm), 3682 nucleotides long. It is a transcript of the gene named zinc finger CCCH domain-containing protein 46, with no coding region annotated. NCBI's taxonomy places the organism in Eukaryota, Viridiplantae, Streptophyta, Magnoliopsida, Arecales, Arecaceae. The record is from RefSeq and is a predicted model, not a curated record.